Molecule: ribosomal RNA, 119 nt
Filed under: Gossypium raimondii (Peruvian cotton)
Lineage: Eukaryota; Viridiplantae; Streptophyta; Magnoliopsida; Malvales; Malvaceae
Also listed under: 1 other name
Source: RNAcentral
GGGUGCGAUCAUACCAGCACUAAUGCACCGGAUCCAAUCAGAACUCUGCAGUUAAGCGUGCUUGGGCGAGAGUAGUACUAGGAUGGGUGACCUCCUGGGAAGUCCUCGUGUUGCACCCC